AUUGAACGCUGGCGGCAGGCCUAACACAUGCAAGUCGAACGGCAGCACAGAAGAGCUUGCUCUUUGGGUGGCGAGUGGCGGACGGGUGAGUAACACGUAGGAAUCUACCCAGUAGUGGGGGAUAACCUGGGGAAACCCAGGCUAAUACCGCAUACGCCCUGAGGGGGAAAGCGGGGGAUCUUCGGACCUCGCGCUAUUGGAUGAGCCUGCGUCGGAUUAGCUAGUUGGUGGGGUAAGGGCCCACCAAGGCGACGAUCCGUAGCUGGUCUGAGAGGAUGACCAGUCACACCGGAACUGAGACACGGUCCGGACUCCUACGGGAGGCAGCAGUGGGGAAUAUUGGACAAUGGGCGCAAGCCUGAUCCAGCAAUGCCGCGUGUGUGAAGAAGGCCUGCGGGUUGUAAAGCACUUUCAGUGGGGAAGAACAGAUUCGGGUCAAUACCCCGGAGCCCUGACGUUACCCACAGAAGAAGCACCGGCUAACUCCGUGCCAGCAGCCG
RNAcentral lists this ribosomal RNA (500 nucleotides) under uncultured bacterium. RNAcentral's name for it is "bacterial SSU rRNA". It matches the Rfam family "Bacterial small subunit ribosomal RNA", at positions 29 to 517 of the family's 1533-position model. The record is from RNAcentral.